UUUUGGUAAUUUGGCCAUUGU
Caenorhabditis elegans is the source of this 21-nucleotide non-coding RNA. NCBI's taxonomy places the organism in Eukaryota, Metazoa, Nematoda, Chromadorea, Rhabditida, Rhabditidae. The record is from Ensembl.